AUAUUGCACAAUGGAGGAAACUCUGAUGCAGCGACGCCGCGUGAGCGAUGAAGGUUUUCGAAUCGUAAAGCUCUGUCCCAUGGGAAGAUAAUGACGGUACCAUGGGAGGAAGCCCCGGCUAACUACGUGCCAGCAGCCGCGGUAAUACGGAGGGGGCUAGCGUUGUCCGGAAUUACUGGGCGUAAAGGGUUCGCAGGCGGAAAUACAAGUCAGGUGUAAAAGGCGGAGGCUUAACCUCCGUAAGCAUUUGAAACUGUAUUUCUUGAGAUAUGGAGAGGCAAGUGGAAUUCCUAGUGUAGCGGUGAAAUGCGUAGAUAUUAGGAGGAAUACCAGUGGCGAAGGCGACUUGCUGGACAUAUACUGACGCUGAGGAACGAAAGCAUGGGUAGCAAACAG
This 396-nucleotide ribosomal RNA is filed under the name uncultured bacterium. Its description in RNAcentral is "bacterial SSU rRNA". It matches the Rfam family "Bacterial small subunit ribosomal RNA", at positions 361 to 775 of the family's 1533-position model. The record is from RNAcentral.